AUAGUAGUGUCAGAGUUUGAUCCUGGCUCAGGAUGAACGCUGGCGGCGUGCUUAACACAUGCAAGUCGAACGAACGACUUAUGUUGGAGUUCUUCGGGACAAAGAGAUAAGAAGUUAGUGGCGGACGGGUGAGUAACGUGUGGGUAAUCUGCCUUUGUCAAAGGAAUAACUAUUCGAAAGAAUAGCUAAAACCGUAUAACAUAUACUAAGGGCAUCCAAAGUAUAUCAAAACUGAGGUGGACAAAGAUGAGCCCGCAUCUGAUUAGCUAGUUGGUGAGAUAAAAGCCCACCAAGGCAACGAUCAGUAGCCGGCCUGAGAGGGUGAACGGCCACAUUGGAACUGAGAGACGGUCCAA
This 356-nucleotide ribosomal RNA is filed under the name uncultured bacterium. RNAcentral describes it as "bacterial SSU rRNA". It matches the Rfam family "Bacterial small subunit ribosomal RNA", at positions 1 to 334 of the family's 1533-position model. The record is from RNAcentral.